Molecule: long non-coding RNA, 1922 nt
Filed under: Triticum aestivum (bread wheat)
Lineage: Eukaryota; Viridiplantae; Streptophyta; Magnoliopsida; Poales; Poaceae
Description: long non-coding RNA (TAES_LNC003711)
Source: RNAcentral
CAACUGCACCAGCCCAGUCAUAAAUGGAUACCACAUGGUUUAUUAUACAGCUAAAAAAAAGGCACUUGCUUAACCUUAGUGUUUUCACAUCAAAACUGUCCCAAGUACCAAUCAUGUUUUCAACCAAAAAUACACAGGCAUUAACAGCCACACACUCCUACGUUGACCAAUGAAGUGAUCAAAAUACGUGACACUCGCUACCAAGGCGCCUUUUCCUCAUGACUACGAGAUUACCAUGAUAACACCCGGUGGUGUAAGUGGCUAUGUUAGUACUGUUGUGAAAUGAAUCACAAACAACUCAUUUAUAGUUCAUUAUAGGUACAUCUCUACAGGCAGAACCAUCUCACAGGUGGUGUGUGUGGCGAAGCUAGUAGUGCUGCAAAAUGAAUGAACAUCAAUCACAUGUGCGCAUCCAUAGUCAGCCAUAUUUUCUACAGGAUUUGACAGUGAACACUGCCAUGAAGUGUCGUAAGACAAAGCUUAACAAAAUCCAUAAAAACAACACUGCCUUUUGGAUAAGAUUCUAGAACCUGAAAUGAAAUGUAACCUCAACGAAGGAAAAUACACGAUAUGGUGACAUCCACAACAUACGACCUCCCAAUAAAACUUGAUUUUCCUUGGGGGAAUGCUCCUGCCUCAGUCCCAAGCCUUACAGCUCCACAAAUAAAAUAACGGCACACUGGCCAACCAAUCUUCAGCAAGAUUGCCAAAAAAGUGACAUCGAGCAGUCCUUGCAAGGAAGCCGCAGUUCUACACACCGUCAUUAGCAGAUUCUUAAAAAGAAGUUCAACAUAUGGACCUUCUGCAAAAUGGACAUGGACAUGUGAACUAUACCACUACUAAGGCAACUAAAAAGCACAAUAAAUACGGUAGUACGGAUAUUAUCAAGUACCUAACUAUUUAGUUACUUAUUUUGUUGAUAGCUGAUUUAAUACCGAAUAAAAGCUGUUAGUUGCAGCUUAGUCCAAAGAUAGGUUUCGGCAUGAGAUGAUUUCGGAUAACACAAGGAACUAUUUUUUAGUGUAUGAAAUAAUUUGCUUUAUACAUAUAUCUUGUCUGAGCCAAAGCAGGUAAACUAUCGACGAUACCAGAGUGAGAAACAUUCAUGGAAAAGAUUGGCAAUAUCAAUAAGCAGCAAAAACACUAUGUUUAGUACUCCUUACGUCCCAAAAUAAGUGUCCCUGAUUUAGUACAACUUAGUCAGAAGGUUGUUUUAGACAAAUUAAUUCCACCAAAAUUUAGAAGAAAUUGAUGUGCAUGAAGAACAUUUAACACCUGAGCCACAAACUACUUUUGAUGCCUAAUUUAGUGGCAAUUAAUAAUGCAUAUCGUCUGGGCAGCGGAAGUAUAAGUGUGAUGUAGCAAAGAAUAGUCUAGCUGAAACUGAAUCGUUUAUUUAACAAGUGACAUGGGAACCCUACCUUACAUCAUUACUAAGCUUUUCAUGUGAAGAAAAAACAUCAGCAACUAUCCCAAAGAAUAUAAUAUUUGCUCAUAUUGAUGCAGCAAAAAUUACAUACCAAUGAGUAAAUUCUGCAAGUAAAUUUUGAAUAGGAAGUGCUCAUUCCCAGAUAUCCAUGAGAGUCCAGGUGUGCAACGACAAAAAUGGUGUUUGUAUUCUUUCCUCAAAUUUAUUUGUUGCCAAAUUUCUGCAAGAGAGUUUUCAACCCAACUAAGGAGAUGAAUAAAAAAAGGCAAGAAGAAUGUGAAGUAUUCUAAUGUUUGGAGGCAAAGUGGAAGGGGUCGAAGCACGGAAAACCAAAUUCAAGUAUUUUUGUUACAUAAUUAGGACAAAUGAAUGUAUAUGAAAAACGUACUCUGAGACUUUGAGUGACUCUGGAGAAGAAUCCCCACCAUGAGAAGAAUCCAUCAUGACAGGUGGCAUACUUGCAGAUGACUUCCAACGGAACCCAGCCCUGUAC